AGCAGCCGCGGUAAUUCCAGCUCCAAUAGCGUAUAUUAAAGUUGUUGCAGUUAAAAAGCUCGUAGUUGAAUUUCGGGAUCAGUUGGUCGGUCGUGCCUCGGUACGUACUGGUCAAAUUGAUUCCUACCUUCUGACGAACCACGAUGUCAUUAAUUUGGUGUCGCGGGAAAUCAGGACUGUUACUUUGAAAAAAUUAGAGUGUUUAAAGCAGGCUCGCGCUUGAAUACAUUAGCAUGGAAUAAUGAAAUAGGACGUUUGAUUCUAUUUUGUUGGUUUCUAGGAUCGACGUAAUGAUUAAUAGGGAUAGUUGGGGGCAUUAGUAUUCAAUUGUCAGAGGUGAAAUUCUUGGAUUUAUUGAAGACUAACUACUGCGAAAGCAUUUGCCAAGGAUGUUUUCAUUAAUCAAGAACGAAAGUUAGGGGAUCGAAGACGAUCAGAUACCGUCGUAGUCUUAACCAUAAACUAUGCCGACUAAGGAUCGGAUGAUGUUAAUUUUUAAUGACUCAUUCGGCGCCUUAAC
This 520-nucleotide ribosomal RNA is filed under the name uncultured Glomus. RNAcentral's name for it is "SSU rRNA". It matches the Rfam family "Eukaryotic small subunit ribosomal RNA", at positions 569 to 1092 of the family's 1831-position model. The record is from RNAcentral. Lineage: Eukaryota; Fungi; Glomeromycota; Glomeromycetes; Glomerales; Glomeraceae.